CAAGCGAAGCGUCGGUAUUCCAAAUAUGUUUAAGAAACGCGGGGAGCAAACUGGACUCGGCGCAAUACUGAUCAAUACUUGAACUGUCGGCGCGACAUCUCCCCCAAGUGUCGCGCCGAUAUAGGUACCAACGGACCGCGUACCUUUGUUUACUCCUAAUGGUCUUAACCCGGAUUCACCCCCCAGAACCCGG
RNAcentral lists this small RNA (193 nucleotides) under Pseudomonas sp. ok272. Its description in RNAcentral is "Pseudomonas sRNA P16". It matches the Rfam family "RgsA sRNA". Rfam says of the family: P16 sRNA appears to be conserved across several Pseudomonas species and Azotobacter vinelandii. The record is from RNAcentral. Lineage: Bacteria; Pseudomonadati; Pseudomonadota; Gammaproteobacteria; Pseudomonadales; Pseudomonadaceae. RNAcentral also lists the same sequence under 1 other name.